AGGUUAAGUUAACAAGGGCGCAUGGUGAAUGCCUUGGCACUAGGAGCCGAUGAAGGACGGGACUAACACCGAUAUGCUUCGGGGAGCUGUACGUAAGCUAUGAUCCGGAGAUUUCCGAAUGGGGCAACCCAGCAGUUUUAAUCAACUGUUACCACUAGAUGAAUUCAUAGUCUAGUUGGAGGUAAACGCUGUGAACUGAAACAUCUCAUUAGCAGCAGGAAUAUAAAGAAAUUUCGAUUCCCUAAGUAGCGGCGAGCGAACGGGGAACAGCCCAAACCAAAGUGCUUGCACUUUGGGGUUGUAGGACUGAACAUUUGAGUUACCAAAGAACUUGAUAGUCGAAGGAUUUGGGAAAAUCCGCCAUAGAUGGUGAUAGCCCAGUAGAUUAAAUCAAAUUCUCUCAGUUCAGGAUCCUGAGUACGGCGGAACACGUGAAAUUCCGUCGGAAUCCGGGAGGACCAUCUCCCAAGGCUAAAUACUACCUAGUGACCGAUAGUGAACCAGUACCGUGAGGGAAAGGUGAAAAGCACCCCGGGAGGGGAGUGAAAUAGUUCCUGAAACCAUGUGCCUACAAUAAGUCAGAGCGCGUUAAUGCGUGAUGGCGUGCCUUUUGUAGAAUGAACCGGCGAGUUAUGAUCCCGUGCAAGGUUAAGACUAAAAAGUCGGAGCCGUAGCGAAAGCGAGUCUGAAAUGGGCGUUUUGAGUACGAGGUUAUAGACCCGAAACCAGGUGACCUAUCCAUGUCCAGGUUGAAGGUGCGGUAAAACGCACUGGAGGACCGAACCCGUGUAAGUUGAAAAUUGCUGGGAUGAGGUGUGGAUAGCGGUGAAAUUCCAAACGAACUUGGAGAUAGCUGGUUCUCUCCGAAAUAGCUUUAGGGCUAGCCUCGGAAUUAGGAUCAUGGAGGUAGAGCAAUAUUUGGACUAGGGGCCCGUCUUGGGUUACUGAAUUCAGAUAAACUCCGAAUGCCAUUGAUUCAUAUCCGGGAGUCAGACGAUGAGUGAUAAGAUCCACCGUCGAAAGGGGAACAGCCCAGACCAUCAGUUAAGGUCCCUAAAUGUAUGCUAAGUGGAAAAGGAUGUGGAGUUGCAUAGACAACUAGGAUGUUGGCUCAGAAGCAGCCACCAUUUAAAGAGUGCGUAAUAGCUCACUAGUCGAGUGAUCCUGCGCCGAAAAUGUACCGGGGCUAAGCAUACUACCGAAACCAUGGAUGCGACCAUUAGGUCGCGUGAUAGGAGAGCGUUCUAAGGGCGGUGAAGCAAGAUCGUGAGGACUUGUGGAGCGCUUAGAAGUGAGAAUGCCGGUAUGAGUAGCGAAAGAUAGGUGAGAAUCCUAUCCACCGAAUGACUAAGGUUUCCUGGGGAAGGCUCGUCCUCCCAGGGUUAGUCGGGACCUAAGUCGAGGCCGAGAGGCGUAGACGAUGGAUAACAGGUUGAGAUUCCUGUACUAGUUAAGUGCGUUUGAGCAAUGGAGGGACGCAGGAGGCUAAGAUGUGCAUUCUGUUGGAUUAGAAUGUCCAAGCAGUAAGUCUUGUGAAGAGUCAAAUGCUUUUCACUUUAAGGACAAGCUGUGAUGGGGAGCGAAAUUUAGUAGCGAAGCGUCUGAUGUCACACUGCCGAGAAAAGCUUCUAGUGAGUACUUAACUACCCGUACCGCAAACCGACACAGGUAGUCGAGGAGAGAAUCCUAAGGUGAGCGAGUGAACUCUCGUUAAGGAACUCGGCAAAAUGACCCCGUAACUUCGGGAGAAGGGGUGCUGAUCGCAAGAUCAGCCGCAGUGAAUAGGCCCAGGCGACUGUUUAUCAAAAACACAGGUCUCUGCAAAAUCGUAAGAUGACGUAUAGGGGCUGACGCCUGCCCGGUGCUGGAAGGUUAAAAGGAUGGGUUAGCUUCGGCGAAGCUCAGAAUUGAAGCCCCAGUAAACGGCGGCCGUAACUAUAACGGUCCUAAGGUAGCGAAAUUCCUUGUCGGGUAAGUUCCGACCCGCACGAAAGGCGUAACGAUCUGGGCACUGUCUCAACGAGAGACUCGGUGAAAUUAUAUUGUCCGUGAAGAUGCGGACUACCCGCGACAGGACGGAAAGACCCCAUGGAGCUUUACUGUAGCUUGAUAUUGAGUGUUUGUACAGCUUGUACAGGAUAGGUAGGAGCCAUAGAAACCGGAACGCUAGUUUCGGUGGAGGCGUUGGUGGGAUACUACCCUCGCUGUAUGACCACUCUAACCCGCACCACUAAUCGUGGUGGGAGACAGUGUCAGGUGGGCAGUUUGACUGGGGCGGUCGCCUCCUAAAAAGUAACGGAGGCGCCCAAAGGUUCCCUCAGAAUGGUUGGAAAUCAUUCGCAGAGUGUAAAGGCACAAGGGAGCUUGACUGCGAGACAGACAGGUCGAGCAGGGACGAAAGUCGGGCUUAGUGAUCCGGUGGUACCGUAUGGAAGGGCCAUCGCUCAACGGAUAAAAGCUACCCUGGGGAUAACAGGCUUAUCUCCCCCAAGAGUCCACAUCGACGGGGAGGUUUGGCACCUCGAUGUCGGCUCAUCGCAUCCUGGGGCUGUAGUCGGUCCCAAGGGUUGGGCUGUUCGCCCAUUAAAGCGGUACGCGAGCUGGGUUCAGAACGUCGUGAGACAGUUCGGUCCCUAUCCGUCGCGGGCGUAGGAAAUUUGAGAGGACCUGUCCUUAGUACGAGAGGACCGGGAUGGACAUACCUCUGGUGUACCAGUUGUGCCGCCAGGCGCAUCGCUGGGUAGCUACGUAUGGAUGUGAUAAACGCUGAAAGCAUCUAAGUGUGAAACACACCUCGAGAUGAGAUUUCCCAUUCCUUUAUGGAAGUAAGACCCCUGAAAGAUGAUCAGGUAGAUAGGUUAGAAGUGGCAGUGCGGUGACGCAUGAAGCGGACUAAUACUAAUCGGUCGAGGACUUAACCAAG
This 2923-nucleotide ribosomal RNA is filed under the name Lactiplantibacillus plantarum. Its description in RNAcentral is "Lactobacillus plantarum 23S ribosomal RNA". It matches the Rfam family "Bacterial large subunit ribosomal RNA". The record is from RNAcentral. Lineage: Bacteria; Bacillati; Bacillota; Bacilli; Lactobacillales; Lactobacillaceae.